This 665-nucleotide long non-coding RNA is filed under the name Phoenix dactylifera (date palm). RNAcentral's name for it is "long non-coding RNA (PDAC_LNC019756)". Lineage: Eukaryota; Viridiplantae; Streptophyta; Magnoliopsida; Arecales; Arecaceae. The record is from RNAcentral.
AACCCUAUGCCUCGAUCCUCUCUUCUUGUUUUCCAUCCUAAUGGACUGAUGGCGGGGCAGCUCGGAUGGCCGCCAAGGCAACCGCUGCAGCCGUGCCUUUAGGAUGGGGUUCAGAAAAGGUGGAGAGGAAGGGAAUCAUAUAAUGUGAUCGAUCAAAGGCGAAUCUGAGCCUCCCCCCCUCCUUUUCCUUCCUCUAUUUUAUUUUCAUCUGUUUGUUUCUUUGUUUCUUUUAUGGUGAUUUCUUUUUCUAGGGUUAGGUCUUAAUGUUAUGACAAGGAUUUGCAUUUAUUUUGCUUUUCCUUCGUUUCUUUUGUAUUAGUAUGUCAUUCGUUAUAUUCUGAUAUUUUUUUAUUUUUUUUCCCAAACAUUCUAAGCAUAGUCUAUGAAAUUUUCAGGGAAAUCGUAUAAAGAAGCCGGUAUUUUCUGUUAUGAUGAUAUUUUUAUUUAAUGUAACCUAUCAUAUAAUAUGAAAACCACAGUUAUUUGUUGAUGAUAUUUGAUGCUUUUUAUUUUUUUGAAUAUCUUUUGUUAUUUAUUGGGAUUUUCCGCCGUAGUUUUCCCCUUAUCUAUAUGUAUUGGACCAUUUGGGAAUCCGGAAAGCUUAUUAAUUUGUAUUGGAAAUUUCGCCGAUUUGGUGCACGUUCCGGGUUUUCACAUGGUAUUUU